GAUGAACGCUGGCGGCGCGCCUAAUACAUGCAAGUCGAGCGAACGGACGAGAAGCUUGCUUCUCUGAUGUUAGCGGCGGACGGGUGAGUAACACGUGGAUAACCUACCUAUAAGACUGGGAUAACUUCGGGAAACCGGAGCUAAUACCGGAUAAUAUUUUGAACCGCAUGGUUCAAAAGUGAAAGACGGUCCUGCUGUCACUUAUAGAUGGAUCCGCGCUGCAUUAGCUAGUUGGUAAGGUAACGGCUUACCAAGGCAACGAUGCAUAGCCGACCUGAGAGGGUGAUCGGCCACACUGGAACUGAGACACGGUCCAGACUCCUACGGGAGGCAGCAGUAGGGAAUCUUCCGCAAUGGGCGAAAGCCUGACGGAGCAACGCCGCGUGAGUGAUGAAGGUCUUCGGAUCGUAAAACUCUGUUAUUAGGGAAGAACAUAUGUGUAAGUAACUGUGCACAUCUUGACGGUACCUAAUCAGAAAGCCACGGCUAACUACGUG
RNAcentral lists this ribosomal RNA (497 nucleotides) under uncultured bacterium. RNAcentral describes it as "partial 16S ribosomal RNA". It matches the Rfam family "Bacterial small subunit ribosomal RNA", at positions 28 to 507 of the family's 1533-position model. The record is from RNAcentral.